Molecule: ribosomal RNA, 406 nt
Filed under: uncultured bacterium
Lineage: Bacteria
Description: partial 16S ribosomal RNA
Rfam family: Bacterial small subunit ribosomal RNA
Source: RNAcentral
AUUGAACGCUGGCGGCAGGCCUAACACAUGCAAGUCGAGCGAGUGGCGGACGGGUGAGUAAUGUCUGGGGAACUGCCCGAUGGAGGGGGAUAACUACUGGAAACGGUAGCUAAUACCGCAUACCAUCAGAUGUUCCCAGAUGGGAUUAGCUAGUUGGUGGGGUAACGGCUCACCUAGGCGACGAUCCCUAGCUGGUCUGAGAGGAUGACCGGCCACACUGGAACUGAGACACGGUCCAGACUCCUACGGGAGGCAGCAGUGGGGAAUAUUGCACAAUGGGCGCAAGCCUGAUGCAGCCAUGCCGCGUGUAUGAAGAAGGCCUUAGGGUUGUAAAGUACUUUCAGCGGGGAGGCGUUACCCGCAGAAGAAGCACCGGCUAACUCCGUGCCAGCAGCCGCGGUAAUAC